GAUGAACGCUGGCGGCGUGCUUAACACAUGCAAGUCGAACGAACCUUCGGGUUAGUGGCGGACGGGUGAGUAACGCGUGGGAAUCUGCCCUCAGGAGGGGGAUAACGGUUGGAAACGACCGCUAAUACCCCAUAUGCCGAGAGGUGAAAUGAAUUUCGCCUGAGGAUGAGCCCGCGUCUGAUUAGCUUGUUGGUGAGGUAAUGGCUCACCAAGGCAUCGAUCAGUAGCUGGUCUGAGAGGAUGAUCAGCCACACUGGGACUGAGACACGGCCCAGACUCCUACGGGAGGCAGCAGUGGGGAAUUUUCCGCAAUGGGCGAAAGCCUGACGGAGCAACGCCGCGUGAGGGACGAAGGCCUCUGGGCUGUAAACCUCUUUUCUCAAGGAAGAAGAUAUGACGGUACUUGAGGAAUAAGCCACGGCUAAUUCCGUGCCAGCAGCCGCGGUAAUACGGGAGUGGCAAGCGUUAUCCGGAAUUAUUGGGCGUAAAGCGUCCGCAGGCGGCCUUUCAAGUCUGCUGUUAAAGCGUGGAGCUUAACUCCAUCAUGGCAGUGGAAACUGACUGGCUUGAGUAUGGUAGGGGCAGAGGGAAUUCCCGGUGUAGCGGUGAAAUGCGUAGAUAUCGGGAAGAACACCAGUGGCGAAGGCGCUCUGCUGGGCCAUUACUGACGCUCAUGGACGAAAGCCAGGGGAGCGAAAGGGAUUAGAUACCCCUGUAGUCCUGGCCGUAAACGAUGAACACUAGGUGUCGGGGGAAUCGACCCCUUCGGUGUCGUAGCUAACGCGUUAAGUGUUCCGCCUGGGGAGUACGCACGCAAGUGUGAAACUCAAAGGAAUUGACGGGGGCCCGCACAAGCGGUGGAGUAUGUGGUUUAAUUCGAUGCAACGCGAAGAACCUUACCAGGGUUUGACAUCCUGCGAACCUUUAAGAAAUUAGAGGGUGCCUUCGGGAACGCAGAGACAGGUGGUGCAUGGCUGUCGUCAGCUCGUGUCGUGAGAUGUUGGGUUAAGUCCCGCAACGAGCGCAACCCACGUUUUUAGUUGCCAGCAUUUAGUUGGGCACUCUAGAAAGACCGCCGGUGAUAAACCGGAGGAAGGUGUGGAUGACGUCAAGUCAUCAUGCCCCUUACAUCCUGGGCUUCACACGUACUACAAUGCUACGGACAAAGGGCAGCAAACUCGCGAGAGCUAGCAAAUCCCAUAAACCGUGGCUCAGUUCAGAUCGUAGGCUGCAACUCGCCUACGUGAAGUAGGAAUCGCUAGUAGUCGCAGGUCAGCAUACUGCGGUGAAUACGUUCCCGGGCCUUGUACACACCGCCCGUC
Molecule: ribosomal RNA, 1322 nt
Filed under: uncultured bacterium
Lineage: Bacteria
Description: bacterial SSU rRNA
Rfam family: Bacterial small subunit ribosomal RNA
Source: RNAcentral